AAUUCGAUUAACGCGAAGAACCUUACCAAGGCUUGACAUGCAUUAGAUCGCGUCAGAGAUGGCGUUUCCCUUCGGGGCUGGUGUACAGGUGGUGCAUGGUUGUCGUCAGCUCGUGUCGUGAGAUGUUGGGUUAAGUCCCGCAACGAGCGCAACCCUCGUUCUAUGUUGCCAGCGGUUCGGCCGGGGACUCAUAGGAGACUGCCGGGGUCAACUCGGAGGAAGGUGGGGAUGACGUCAAAUCAUCAUGCCCCUUACGACCAGGGCUACACACGUGCUACAAUGGCGCAUACAAAGAGAAGCGACCUCGCGAGAGCAAGCGGACCUCAUAAAGUGCGUGUAGUCCGGAUUGGAGUCUGCAACUCGACUCCAUGAAGUCGGAAUCGCUAGUAAUCGU
This 394-nucleotide ribosomal RNA is filed under the name uncultured Rothia sp. RNAcentral's name for it is "bacterial SSU rRNA". It matches the Rfam family "Bacterial small subunit ribosomal RNA", at positions 948 to 1345 of the family's 1533-position model. Lineage: Bacteria; Bacillati; Actinomycetota; Actinomycetes; Micrococcales; Micrococcaceae. The record is from RNAcentral.